UCAGCUGUGCACCAUCUUGAGGUUUUGUUGAUCCUCCGUUCUCUUUCCUUAUCUCCCGUUUUAUCUCCCAUUUCUCGGCGAUGGAGGAAGUGGAGGAGAGAGGGCAAGGAGGCCAAAGAUGGAGGAAAUGCCCAGGGAGGGAGAAAGUGGCAGAAUUCUCGAUAAAAGGAGAGAAAAACGCGGAAAUAUGAGGUGGCUUGAGAGAUUCGCCGCUCCAGGUCUCGGAGGCAGCCCAGUCCUCGGUCUUGGUUGGGAGUCUGUUUGGUCGUCACCAUGGACUGUGGACUCGGCUCUUCCCAAUCUUAGUCAGCUGGUGAAGGAAGGAAUGAAGGAAGGAUAAGCAACCAUACUUGGUUCAGCCAAGUCCAAAGUGACCGAGCAGUCGUGCAACCGAAUGGCUACUGGCGGUCCUCCAGUGGGUGACCAGAUGGCGACCAUGACAAGAUUCACACCUUGACCCCACACUUGCAGUCAGAUCAAGACGCCAACCAGUGACCGACAGGCUGGGACUGGUUUACAUCCUGCCGCAGUGAGGAUGUCAACCUCCCACAUCAACCUGCUGCUGGCAUCACACACCCCUCACACAGCUCCGCUAUGCACGGUCACACGCUGUAGUUUUUCUUUCAUGCAUUAUGAUCAGCAGUUAGAGUAAUUUUAUCACCCAGUUGUAUUACAUAUUGCUCUUUCUCAAUUUGUAAAUUAUUUGCAAAAACAAUAAUUUUAUAUAAUGGUAAUGAAAGUAUGAGCAAAUCUAUGUGCUCUUUCAUAUUUUAGUAAGUAAAAUUACACCAGCGUGACAACUGCUUAAGAACUCCACAGACUCUUAUUGUUUUUGCUGUGUACAUCAUGUCCUGCUGUACUUUGGUUAGGCAGUGGUGAUCUAUACGCAUUUGGCCGUGUUCCAGACCUGUGGAGCAGGUCGAGUUGGGACGGAGCUUGGACAGGCUGAGGGAAGUCACUGCUCAGGAAUGUACUUCAUUUCCCAUCAAGGGUGGUUAGACCUACCACUGGUCGCCACACAACUCCCUGUGUGGUGGGACACCAACCACAGCCAAUGACAGAUGCAAAGUGGAUGGCAAACAUCAGCGACCCCCUACUACCUGAUGCCAACUGGACGGCGUCUGCUCGCCAUCUGGUUGCCGUCCACCAGCUAACAGUCAUAUGUCGGCCACUGGUGGCUGUCCACUUGCCAUCCAGACGCAGUCCAUUCGACCACUGGACGGCAGUCUUUUUAUGACUGGAAGAGACCUGAGAGGUCAACUGAAGGUUUUCAGUGCAGCACCAAAAACCUCCAGACGACCUUUUUGGUUGUACGACGGACAGAGACGCACGAGAAUCGCACACAUGGCCAUGUGCGACCUCCUGCGACCUGCAGGUUGCAGGAGGUCAGUAUUAGGUCAUAAAGUCAGUGUGACUGGGGUUUAAGGAACCAGGACCGGCAAGCCCUUCCAUAUUUGUGUUGUCUGUUAUCUCACAACUUCUCACUCUUCCAGGGCAGACCUUCACAGCAGAGGACAACACAUGCAUUGGCUGUGGAUGAAGGACUGAAGCAGGUAUUCUAAGGCACUGGGCUGCCUCAAGGAUGAAAAACUGAGGCUCCUAUUCUCUGACACUCUGGGUUCUCACGACAACUGUUUCCCAAGACCACGAAGGAGUAAAGCCUGAUGCCACUGCAGAGUCCAAGAGUUUCAAGAUUAGUUCUUCAAUGCUCUUGAAGGUGCUGAAGUCACAGGCAGGAGGAUACACAGCCACCAACCCUGUGUGUUUGUAGUUCAGCACACUGGAAGGGCCUAGAGGAAGUGUAGGGUAGUGAUGGUGGGUAGCCAACACUCAA
Eriocheir sinensis (Chinese mitten crab) is the source of this 1834-nucleotide long non-coding RNA. RefSeq lists it as uncharacterized. The record is from RefSeq and is a predicted model, not a curated record. The transcript is spliced from 4 exons. NCBI's taxonomy places the organism in Eukaryota, Metazoa, Arthropoda, Malacostraca, Decapoda, Varunidae.